RNAcentral lists this ribosomal RNA (752 nucleotides) under Vreelandella aquamarina. RNAcentral's name for it is "bacterial SSU rRNA". It matches the Rfam family "Bacterial small subunit ribosomal RNA", at positions 35 to 786 of the family's 1533-position model. The record is from RNAcentral. Lineage: Bacteria; Pseudomonadati; Pseudomonadota; Gammaproteobacteria; Oceanospirillales; Halomonadaceae.
GCUUUACGGCAGCUACACAUGCAAGUCGAGCGGUAACAGAUCCAGCUUGCUGGAUGCUGACGAGCGGCGGACGGGUGAGUAAUGCAUAGGAAUCUGCCCGAUAGUGGGGGAUAACCUGGGGAAACCCAGGCUAAUACCGCAUACGUCCUACGGGAGAAAGGGGGCUUCGGCUCCCGCUAUCGGAUGAGCCUAUGUCGGAUUAGCUAGUUGGUGAGGUAACGGCUCACCAAGGCCACGAUCCGUAGCUGGUCUGAGAGGAUGAUCAGCCACAUCGGGACUGAGACACGGCCCGAACUCCUACGGGAGGCAGCAGUGGGGAAUAUUGGACAAUGGGGGGAACCCUGAUCCAGCCAUGCCGCGUGUGUGAAGAAGGCCCUCGGGUUGUAAAGCACUUUCAGCGAGGAAGAACGCCUAGCGGUUAAUACCCGCUAGGAAAGACAUCACUCGCAGAAGAAGCACCGGCUAACUCCGUGCCAGCAGCCGCGGUAAUACGGAGGGUGCAAGCGUUAAUCGGAAUUACUGGGCGUAAAGCGCGCGUAGGUGGCUUGAUAAGCCGGUUGUGAAAGCCCCGGGCUCAACCUGGGAACGGCAUCCGGAACUGUCAAGCUAGAGUGCAGGAGAGGAAGGUAGAAUUCCCGGUGUAGCGGUGAAAUGCGUAGAGAUCGGGAGGAAUACCAGUGGCGAAGGCGGCCUUCUGGACUGACACUGACACUGAGGUGCGAAAGCGUGGGUAGCAAACAGGAUUAGUCCCC